CCUACGGGAGGCAGCAGUGAGGAAUAUUGGUCAAUGGACGAGAGUCUGAACCAGCCAAGUAGCGUGAAGGAUGACUGCCCUAUGGGUUGUAAACUUCUUUUAUAAAGGAAUAAAACGAGGCACGUGUGCCUUUUUGCAUGUACUUUAUGAAUAAGGAUCGGCUAACUCCGUGCCAGCAGCCGCGGUAAUACGGAGGAUCCUAGCGUUAUCCGGAUGUAUUGGGUUUAAAGGGAGCGUAGAUGGGUUGUUAAGUCAGUUGUGAAAGUUUGCGGCUCAACCGUAAAAUUGCAAUUGAUACUGGCAGUCUUGAGUACAGUUGAGGUAGGCGGAAUGCGUGGUGUAGCGGUGAAAUGCUUAGAUAUCACGAAGAACCCCGAUUGCGAAGGCAGCUUACUAAACUGUGACUGACAUUGAUGCUCGAAAGUGUGGGUAUCAAACAGGAUUAGAUACCCUAGUAGUC
Molecule: ribosomal RNA, 460 nt
Filed under: uncultured bacterium
Lineage: Bacteria
Description: partial 16S ribosomal RNA
Rfam family: Bacterial small subunit ribosomal RNA
Source: RNAcentral